AAGACUAUACUUUCAGGGAUCAUUUCUAUAGUUUCUAGCUAGGAAAUGUGAUUUGAAAGUGUUAUGUCUCUCUAAUCACAAUGAUGAGUUUUGAUGCACUCUUCUGAGCAUGAAUCAGCUCUAGCCUAAUGAUUCUUUCAUGGGUUUUUAAUCAUUGAUGAAUGUUCUCUACUUCUUAUGAGGUAUGAGUGGAAGAGUACAUGGUCAGAGUGAC
Molecule: small nucleolar RNA, 214 nt
Organism: Pangasianodon hypophthalmus (striped catfish)
Lineage: Eukaryota; Metazoa; Chordata; Actinopteri; Siluriformes; Pangasiidae
Product: small nucleolar RNA U3
Exons: 1
Source: RefSeq, a predicted model, not a curated record